This 429-nucleotide ribosomal RNA is filed under the name Gemmatimonadota bacterium. Its description in RNAcentral is "Gemmatimonadetes bacterium partial 16S ribosomal RNA". It matches the Rfam family "Bacterial small subunit ribosomal RNA", at positions 355 to 776 of the family's 1533-position model. Lineage: Bacteria; Pseudomonadati; Gemmatimonadota. The record is from RNAcentral.
UAGGGAAUCUUCGGCAAUGGACGAAAGUCUGACCGAGCAACGCCGCGUGAGUGAAGAAGGUUUUCGGAUCGUAAAACUCUGUUGUUAGAGAAGAACAAGGACGUUAGUAACUGAACGUCCCCUGACGGUAUCUAACCAGAAAGCCACGGCUAACUACGUGCCAGCAGCCGCGGUAAUACGUAGGUGGCAAGCGUUGUCCGGAUUUAUUGGGCGUAAAGCGAGCGCAGGCGGUUUCUUAAGUCUGAUGUGAAAGCCCCCGGCUCAACCGGGGAGGGUCAUUGGAAACUGGGAGACUUGAGUGCAGAAGAGGAGAGUGGAAUUCCAUGUGUAGCGGUUAAAUGCGUAGGUAUAUGGAGGAACACCAGUGGCGAAGGCGGCUCUCUGGUCUGUAACUGACGCUGAGGCUCGAAAGCGUGGGGAGCAAACAGG